Molecule: long non-coding RNA, 384 nt
Organism: Felis catus (domestic cat)
Lineage: Eukaryota; Metazoa; Chordata; Mammalia; Carnivora; Felidae
Exons: 2
Source: RefSeq, a predicted model, not a curated record
CCAACCCCCCCCCCCCAACCCCUCGCCUAUCAAGCAAUCUGAGUCACCCACAGCAGGGGACAAAUGCUGGGGAUAGAGGAGGCGUCUAGCAUCCCUGGGAAUGAGAGUCCUUCCCCGCAGGAGUGUCCAUUAGAGCAGAGCCCCACUGAGUUAUUCUUAUGCCCUGUUUGACCCCAGGGGGAUGAGAUGGGUGGGGUUUACAGAAAAAAAAAAACAAUUGGUUUCAACUAGUUCUACCAGUUUUUACCCCCUACAGUAAAACAUCACUUAACCAUUUUAACACGCCACAAAUUUCCCUUUGCAGAGACAAUGGGCUUUGGAGGAAUUUAUUGGUGGUGGGCAAACUGAGGCCCAGAGAAGUAAAGUGAUUUAUUUGUUCAAGGA